GGUGAACGCUGGCGGCGUGCCUAAUACAUGCAAGUCGAGCGAACAGAUAAGGAGCUUGCUCCUUUGAAGUUAGCGGCGGACGGGUGAGUAACACGUGGGUAACCUACCUAUAAGACUGGGAUAACUUCGGGAAACCGGAGCUAAUACCGGAUAACAUUUAGAACCGCAUGGUUCUAAAGUGAAAGAUGGUUUUGCUAUCACUUAUAGAUGGACCCGCGCCGUAUUAGCUAGUUGGUAAGGUAACGGCUUACCAAGGCGACGAUACGUAGCCGACCUGAGAGGGUGAUCGGCCACACUGGAACUGAGACACGGUCCAGACUCCUACGGGAGGCAGCAGUAGGGAAUCUUCCGCAAUGGGCGAAAGCCUGACGGAGCAACGCCGCGUGGGUGAUGAAGGGUUUCGGCUCGUAAAACUCUGUUAUUAGGGAAGAACAAAUGUGUAAGUAACUGUGCACAUCUUGACGGUACCUAAUCAGAAAGCCACGGCUAACUACGUG
RNAcentral lists this ribosomal RNA (497 nucleotides) under uncultured bacterium. Its description in RNAcentral is "partial 16S ribosomal RNA". It matches the Rfam family "Bacterial small subunit ribosomal RNA", at positions 28 to 507 of the family's 1533-position model. The record is from RNAcentral.